Molecule: transfer RNA, 75 nt
Filed under: archaeon
Lineage: Archaea
Description: tRNA-Ala
Rfam family: tRNA
About the family: Transfer RNA (tRNA) molecules are approximately 80 nucleotides in length. Their secondary structure includes four short double-helical elements and three loops (D, anti-codon, and T loops).
Source: RNAcentral
GGGCCAGUAGAUCAAUCUGGUUAGAUCGUCUGCUUUGCAAGCAGAAGGCUCAGGGUUCAAAUCCCUGCUGGUCCA